This 449-nucleotide ribosomal RNA is filed under the name Upogebia major. RNAcentral's name for it is "partial 16S ribosomal RNA". It matches the Rfam family "Archaeal large subunit ribosomal RNA", at positions 1901 to 2594 of the family's 2987-position model. Lineage: Eukaryota; Metazoa; Arthropoda; Malacostraca; Decapoda; Upogebiidae. The record is from RNAcentral.
AAAAACAUGUCCUAUUGGAGUUUUAAUAGGUCUGGCCUGCCCACUGAGAAUUAAAGGGCCGCGGUAUUUUGACCGUGCGAAGGUAGCAUAAUCAUUAGUUUUUUAAUUGAAGGCUAGUAUGAAUGGUCGGACAAGAAAUAAGCUGUCUUUAUAAAAAUUAUUGAAUUUAACGUUUAAGUAAAAAGGCUUAAAUAAAUUAAGGGGACGAUAAGACCCUAUAAAGCUUUAUAAUUUUUUUAUUUUGUUAAGGAUAUAUUAUGGAAAUUAACUUAUUAGGGAAAUUAUUAUGUUGGGGCGACAAAAGUAAAAUUAAGUAUCUGCUUUAUUUUUUUAACAAUAAUUUUUGUAAAUAUUAAUUGAUCCUAAUUAAAGAUUAUAAGUUUAAGUUACUUUAGGGAUAACAGCGUAAUUUUUCCUGAGAGCUCAUAUCGAGGGGAAAGUUUGCGACC